This 210-nucleotide long non-coding RNA is filed under the name Mus spicilegus (steppe mouse). Its description in RNAcentral is "lncRNA (ENSMSIG00000000426.1)". Lineage: Eukaryota; Metazoa; Chordata; Mammalia; Rodentia; Muridae. The record is from RNAcentral.
GGCUGGGAUUUGUAGUCCUCACUGGCUUCCUGGCCUACCCCUCUCCGGAAGAAAAUGGCUGCCUCAAGUGCUUGGACCACAUUUCCCGGAGUGCCCCGGGCUCCUGUUUUCCGCCCACUUUCUUCCGUACCCCGCUGCGCUCCAAGCACGGUGACCUUUGAAAGUUAACAGGGGUGCCAUGGGCUGAGUAAGAUAAAUGGAACUGCUGUU